AGGACCCGUCUUGAAACACGGACCAAGGAGUCUAACAUGUGCGCGAGUCAUUGGGACUUUGAAGCCUAAAGGCGCAAUGAAAGUGAAGGUCGUCCUUAGCGUCGACCGAGGGAGGAUGGCUCGCGUCACGAUGCGAGCCCGCACUCCCGGGGCGUCUCGUGCUCAUUGCGAGCAGAGGCGCACCCAGAGCGUACACGUUGGGACCCGAAAGAUGGUGAACUAUGCCUGGUCAGGACGAAGUCAGGGGAAACCCUGAUGGAGGUCCGUAGCGAUUCUGACGUGCAAAUCGAUCGUCGGAACUGGGUAUAGGGGCGAAAGACUAAUCGAACCAUCUAGUAGCUGGUUCCCUCCGAAGUUUCCCUCAGGAUAGCUGGCACUCGCUUGAGCGAGUCUCAUCUGGUAAAGCGAAUGAUUAGAGGCCUUGGGGCCGAAACGACCUCAACCUAUUCUCAAACUUUAAAUGGGUGAGAUCUCUGGCUUGCUUGAACGUUGAAGCCACGAGAUUUUUCAAAUGGAUCAGAGUGCCAAGUGGGCCAAUUUUGGUAAGCAGAACUGGCGCUGUGGG
RNAcentral lists this ribosomal RNA (565 nucleotides) under Euplectrus sp. D2168. RNAcentral's name for it is "eukaryotic LSU rRNA". It matches the Rfam family "Eukaryotic large subunit ribosomal RNA", at positions 644 to 1162 of the family's 3401-position model. The record is from RNAcentral. Lineage: Eukaryota; Metazoa; Arthropoda; Insecta; Hymenoptera; Eulophidae.